Molecule: long non-coding RNA, 707 nt
Organism: Corapipo altera (White-ruffed manakin)
Lineage: Eukaryota; Metazoa; Chordata; Aves; Passeriformes; Pipridae
Exons: 2
Source: RefSeq, a predicted model, not a curated record
CCAUUCCAUAAAAUCAUGGGUUUGCCAUCCACCCUCUGCUGCAACUGCCCAAAGCCAGGCAUGGAUUGACCCUACAUUGCUGCACCAUGCUGGAGAGGUGGUGUCUUCCCCUGUCUGAAGAUCUGACUCUUCCCUGAGAGGCUCAAGAUGUGUUAAAGGAGAGCAGGGAUGCUCCUGGGAUAGCUGAUCCUGUUUUCGGACUACUCAGAUGAAGGCAAGAACAAUGCCAGGCACGCAUCCUGUCCUUGUGAUGGUGGGCAGACCUCAGGGAGCUACAAGGAGCUGCUCCAGAGGAUGCCAACUUUCCAAGCCCCAGCUGGGGGUCAGUCCUUGCACCCAGCCUGCCAUCCACUCUGGAAUUCCCCAAGGGUUUACCCAGGAAUGUCAACUCACAGUGCGAUCUCUGAUGAAACCAGUUAACUUUGCAAGGAACUGGUUCCUCUGAGGGCAUUGAGUGCUUCCCUCCAACACUGGCUGCAUUUGUCAGACAAAAUCAGGUGACUAAGAGCUGGAUUAUCUCGAUUUCUAGAUCCUCUUUGUCUAUGGCAAACUGGAGUCCUCUUUCUUUAGGGAUACUUGUCCAUCACGAACAACGGAACAAUUAAGCCGUCCUCUGCUAUCCAGCCACAGGUACAAAAGCAGAUAAAAGACAGGCUAAUUCACUCUGAAAUAUCCUCCACUCUGAAAAUAAAAGCAAGGUCCAUGGA